Long non-coding RNA from Juglans microcarpa x Juglans regia, 148 nucleotides. RefSeq lists it as uncharacterized. The transcript has 3 exons. The record is from RefSeq and is a predicted model, not a curated record. Lineage: Eukaryota; Viridiplantae; Streptophyta; Magnoliopsida; Fagales; Juglandaceae.
UCAUGUAAUGUAAAUGAAUAAAUCUUUACAACCUCCUCACACUUCACACUUCACAUUUUUUUUAAUUUUUAUUAUUUUUUUCUUUUAUCAAAUAUUUAUUAUAUGAAUAAUGAAUAGAAAAUUUGAAAUAAUUUAAAAAGAAUAAACU